Molecule: ribosomal RNA, 108 nt
Filed under: Periophthalmus magnuspinnatus
Lineage: Eukaryota; Metazoa; Chordata; Actinopteri; Gobiiformes; Gobiidae
Source: RNAcentral
UUCAAAACAAUACCCCUUAAUGCCUGAUCUUGUCUGAUUUCUGAAGCUGGGCAGGGUUGGGCUUGGUUAGUAUUUGAAUGGGAGACAGCUAGGGAUAUCAGGUGGCAC